CCUACGGGUGGCAGCAGUGGGGAAUAUUGCACAAUGGGGGAAACCCUGAUGCAGCGAUGCCGCGUGAGUGAAGAAGUAAUUCGUUAUGUAAAGCUCUAUCAGCAGGGAAGAAAAUGACGGUACCUGAGUCAGUAGCCCAGGCUAACUACGUGCCAGCAGCCGCGGUAAUACGUAGGGGGCCAGCGUUAUCCGGAUUUAUUGGGUGUAAAGGGAGCGUAGGCGGCUGUGCAAGUCUGGAGUGAAAGGCGGGGGCUCAACCUCCGGACUGCUCUGGAAACUGUACGGCUGGAGUGCAGGUGAGGUAAGUGGAAUGCCUGGUGUAGCGGUGAAAUGCGUAGAGAUUAGGAAGAACACCGAUGGCGAAGGCAGCUUACUGGGCUAUAACUGACGUUGAGGCACGAAAGCGUGGGGAGCAAACAGGAUUAGAUACCCCUGUAGUC
This 440-nucleotide ribosomal RNA is filed under the name uncultured bacterium. Its description in RNAcentral is "partial 16S ribosomal RNA". It matches the Rfam family "Bacterial small subunit ribosomal RNA", at positions 338 to 795 of the family's 1533-position model. The record is from RNAcentral.